GACGAACGCUGGCGGCGUGCCUAAUACAUGCAAGUUGAGCGAUGAAGAUUGGUGCUUGCACCCAUUUGAAGAGCAGCGAACGGGUGAGUAACGCGUGGGGAAUCUGCCUUUGAGCGGGGGACAACAUUUGGAAACGAAUGCUAAUACCGCAUAACAACUUUAAACAUAAGUUUUAAGUUUGAAAGAUGCAAUUGCAUCACUCAAAGAUGAUCCCGCGUUGUAUUAGCUAGUUGGUGAGGUAAAGGCUCACCAAGGCGAUGAUACAUAGCCGACCUGGGAGGGUGAUCGGCCACAUUGGGACUGAGACACGGCCCAAACUCCUACGGGAGGCAGCAGUAGGGAAUCUUCGGCAAUGGACGAAAGUCUGACCGAGCAACGCCGCGUGAGUGAAGAAGGUUUUCGGAUCGUAAAACUCUGUUGGUAGAGAAGAACGUUGGUGAGAGUGGAAAGCUCAUCAAGUGACGGUAACUACCCAGAAAGGGACGGCUAACUACGUG
Molecule: ribosomal RNA, 497 nt
Filed under: uncultured bacterium
Lineage: Bacteria
Description: partial 16S ribosomal RNA
Rfam family: Bacterial small subunit ribosomal RNA
Source: RNAcentral